This 253-nucleotide ribosomal RNA is filed under the name uncultured bacterium. RNAcentral describes it as "partial 16S ribosomal RNA". It matches the Rfam family "Bacterial small subunit ribosomal RNA", at positions 524 to 776 of the family's 1533-position model. The record is from RNAcentral.
UACGUAGGGUGCAAGCGUUGUCCGGAAUUAUUGGGCGUAAAGGGCUCGUAGGCGGUUUGUUGCGUCGGCUGUGAAAUCCCGAGGCUCAACCUCGGGUCUGCAGUCGAUACGAGCAAACUAGAGUGUUGCAGGGGAGACUGGAAUUCCUGGUGUAGCGGUGAAAUGCGCAGAUAUCAGGAGGAACACCGGUGGCGAAGGCGGGUCUCUGGGCAUGUCCUGACGCUGAGGAGCGAAAGUGUGGGGAGCGAACAGG